UGAGGAAGAUAAUGACGGUACUCAACAAGGAAGUGACGGCUAACUACGUGCCAGCAGCCGCGGUAAAACGUAGGUCACAAGCGUUGUCCGGAAUUACUGGGUGUAAAGGGAGCGCAGGCGGGAGAACAAGUUGGAAGUGAAAUCCAUGGGCUCAACCCAUGAACUGCUUUCAAAACUGUUUUUCUUGAGUAGUGCAGAGGUAGGCGGAAUUCCCGGUGUAGCGGUGGAAUGCGUAGAUAUCGGGAGGAACACCAGUGGCGAAGGCGGCCUACUGGGCACCAACUGACGCUGAGGCUCGAAAGUGUGGGUAGCAAACAGGAUUAGAUACCCUGGUAGUCCACACCGUAAACGAUGAUUACUAGGUGUUGGAGGAUUGACCCCUUCAGUGCCGCAGUUAACACAAUAAGUAAUCCACCUGGGGAGUACGACCGCAAGGUUGAAACUCAAAGGAAUUGACGGGGGCCCGCACAAGCAGUGGAGUAUGUGGUUUAAUUCGACGCAACGCGAAGAACCUUACCAAGUCUUGACAUCCCUUGACGAUGCUGGAAACAGCAUUUCUCUUCGGAGCAAGGAGACAGGUGGUGCAUGGUUGUCGUCAGCUCGUGUCGUGAGAUGUUGGGUUAAGUCCCGCAACGAGCGCAACCCUUAUGGUCAGUUACUACGCAAGAGGACUCUGGCCGGACUGC
Molecule: ribosomal RNA, 686 nt
Filed under: Faecalibacterium prausnitzii
Lineage: Bacteria; Bacillati; Bacillota; Clostridia; Eubacteriales; Oscillospiraceae
Description: bacterial SSU rRNA
Rfam family: Bacterial small subunit ribosomal RNA
Source: RNAcentral